AUGAGCUAUCUAAGUGAUUUACUAUUGACUUUCAAGCCAGCAAGCAGAACACUACAGACGGCUCAGCCUAGACGGACUACCUGGUUACCACCACAAGAAGCCCAUGACAAACUUAACGUUGACGCGGCGGUCCCCAGGGCAGGAGGCUACGACGCCGUGGGAGCGAUCUGCAGGGAUCUUUCAGGCGUUUUUCAGGGUGCAUCAGCCGUCGUUUUCAGAAACAUUGACCAGCCCGAAGUGUUGGAAAGUUUAGCAAUACGAGAAGCACUAGCCUUAGCAGAUGAUCUCUACGUUCAAAAAAUCCGCGUCGCCUCCGAUUGCAAGUCACCUGUUGAAGAUAUACAUCGAGGAACAUCGUCGGCUUAUGGAGCAGUGGUGCAGAUCAAGGAGCACUCUAGUAAUUUUAUUUCUUGUUUUAUUAGUCAUGAGUUUAGAACCUCGAAUGUCGGGGCCCACAAACUAGCAAAGCAUGCCUUAACUCUUGGCACCGGUCGCCAUGUCUGGUUAGGCCACCCUGGAGAUCUUUCCUUUGUCCCUGUAAAUGUGACGUUUUAA
RNAcentral lists this ribosomal RNA (555 nucleotides) under Triticum aestivum (bread wheat). RNAcentral describes it as "partial small subunit ribosomal RNA". The record is from RNAcentral. Lineage: Eukaryota; Viridiplantae; Streptophyta; Magnoliopsida; Poales; Poaceae.